Molecule: long non-coding RNA, 400 nt
Filed under: Sorghum bicolor (sorghum)
Lineage: Eukaryota; Viridiplantae; Streptophyta; Magnoliopsida; Poales; Poaceae
Description: long non-coding RNA (SBIC_LNC015432)
Source: RNAcentral
GGGGUUUGGGGGUGCAGAGCAGAGCUAGUGGACUUUUGCAGCUUUUAUCCUGGUGACAAUGAUUUUAGCUGAGUUGCAAAGUAGUCUUUCUCUGCUCCAAGAUUAUGGCAGUGAUCCCAGCCUCAUUCGCCAUUGUACAGCUGUCUAAGUAACAAUUAUCAGGAUUUAUCCAGAUGACAAGAACUUUGGUUGAGUUGCAAAGUAUGUUUUUCACAGGGAAUGCAGUGGAUUCUCAUUGCGCAGUGAUGUGUGCUCAUGGUGUCUACCUGUGAGGAUGAUCCAAAUGUGAACUAGUACAAUACAGUGAUACAUUUCUAUGGGAUAAUUCAUAGUACGAUGCAGUGAUAUAUUGUUUCAUUUGUUCUUUAGUGUCUAGACGCUAGUUAUGAUUAAGUAGGCU